UUAUAAAGAUACCAUAAUAAACAUAUUAGAUGAUUAGUUGGGUUGGUUAAGGUGUUAACCUUGUACCAACCCAACCAAGGUUCGAUUCCCCUUGGCAGCAAAAUUUAUCAUCUUCUUCGUGGUUUUACUAUGACCUGAAUCCUAUCUUAUUCCUUAUCAGAGUACACUGUACCCGCACGUCUAGAUGCUUAUUUUUGAGAAACUUAAGUGAACUGUUAAGGGUGAUUUCGGCACGUUGUGAUUAUAAUGACUAAAAUUGACGAUAAAAAUUUGAUUGUUUGAUAUGAUUAUAAUAGGGAAACAUGGCUAUAGGCCUAUAGUAUAAAAUUCAUCUAGAUUUGGCAACGUCGAGGCUCGAUCGAAGUGGUCAACUCUAAUUUAUUGUCAUUUAUCGCACGAAAACGCUCAUAUCUACCUUUCCGUGACCUAGUUUGGUCGAUUCUUCACACAUUAAACUCUCACAUAGAUGAGAUGUAACCGCCCAUGGAAAAAUUUGGGGACGUUUACUACCUGAGGAUAGGGCACCCUUUAGUAAAGCACUAUAAAUUAGACCUGCGCUUUGCUGCGAGUGUUUGAAUACAGUUUAUAUACAGAAUGCAAUUCACAACAAAAGAUUAUUGUACAUGGUGUAUUAAGCAGACUUUAGAAUUGUUCAAGACAUGGGUAUUAGGUAGUAGUUUGGGAAAAGAACAAAGAAGCAGCUAAGCUGAUGGAACAGGUUGCAAAAGAUGGAUCGUCAUACUUGUUGCAGAGAAAUUUGCUUGCUUCAGCUCAUGUUAUACCACAACCUAAAAACAAAAAAAAUAUUGUGUACUGCAUAAGACAUAGAAAAAGAAAAAUAUGCAAGAAGAGUUUGUAUCAUAUUUUUCAGCAUUUUGCUAUGCAUCAUAGCCACCAUUAUAAACAUAAAGUAAAAAUAGAAAUGACUUAAAGUCAGUGCAUCAUCAAUAACCCGGAAUGGAGAUGAGAAAGAAGCAUAAUUGUAAAGAAAAACUAAAUAAACUAAUGAAAAAAGAAAGUUAGGGCAAGAAAAUUCAAUUACCUUGAUAACAUUUGUAGGGUGGGGGUGACAAAGAAGAUUCAUGUAUGUAUUAUUGUUUCUCCAAUUGAGCGGUCAGAAUUAUGAAUACAAAAUGUCGUUUAUUUCCAAUUAGCUGAAUUCAAUUUUAUAAAUUGCAUUGCGGGCACUCACUUUUACAAAGGUGAAAAAAUAAAAAAUAAAGGAAAAAUAAAAAUAAAAAUAAAAAUAUACUAUACCGGGUUCUUUCUCCUUCCUUAGUACCCGAGAAAGUUUGAACAAUUUUCUUUCUUCUUCCUUUUCCAACACCGAGAGUUUCUGCGUUAUCAAAAUAUUAUAUCAGCUUCCAUCUUCGUAAUGAAACUCAAGAAGCAACCUUGAAUAAAAAAGAAGAAGAAAGAGAUGGACUGGGGUUGAAAGCAGAGGGAAGCCAAAUUGGAGAGCGUAGGAACAUAACCUGAUUAACAACUUCAAAGAGCAUAUACAGAGAAAUCAUCUUUCAGCAGCCUCAACUGAAACAUACAAAUUAAAGAGAAAAUCAUAAGAUUGAAUUCAAAUUUCAACUAACCAAAAUUAUUUUUAUCUUAUUAGAAUGACAAUAAUAAACUAAAGAUUGAAAGGAUUCAAGCUUGGGAUAAGGUUUAAGCUUGGGAUCAUUUAUCUGAGAGAGAAGAGAAGAAAAAAGAUGAAACGAAAAUAUAUCAGGUAUCAUCAGGGCCGGCCCUGACAAUUUCAGGGCUCUAGGCGACAACAAAAAAUGAGGCUCCUUAUUGCUAGAUGUAUUAAAAAAAAAAAAAAAAAUCUUCUUCUUCUUCAACAAUAAGUAUAUGAUCAAAUGAAUACUAAUAGAAUUAAUCCAACAAUAUAUCAAUCCAAUCAUUUGAUCAGAUACUAUAGUAGUUCAAAUAAAAUCUUAGAAUUACAAAAAACAGCACUCUUGCUACUGAAAAACAACCCUUCUUGCAUUCUUGGCUGCAAAAGUUUCAAUUAAGCUUGAAUAAUCAAGCUUUUGAACCAACUCUUUUUCAAUCGACAACAAAGCUAAAUCAUUCAAUCUUUCAUGUGACAUAGUUGAUCGAAGAUAAGAUUUGAUCAACUUUAAUUUUGAAAAGCUUCUUUUAGCAGAGGCAAUAGUAACCGGUAUGGUUAAUAGAAUCCUAUUCACAAUGACAAUUGUUAUAAUCAAGUAUGGUGGCUAAUAUUUAGUUUGGUACUUUGGUUGAACUAGUAAAUAAGGUUGAACUAGUAAAUAACAACUAUGUAAGACUAUAACUAAUAAUUGAUUCACCAAGAACUGAAGAACAAUAAGAAAAAACUUUGCAAAACUUCAACAACACUUGUUGAAAGGGUUAGGAACCAAACAUUCAAACAAUAGGUCAAUAGUAUACACACAAACAAAACAAAAAAUCUGUCUCAUCUAUUCAUCAGUCAUACAAUUAAACAAACAAGCAAAGCCAUGGAAUCAUAAAAUUGCAGCAAUUCAAUGGAAUCAUGGUACUAAAGCAAAAGGCAUCAUCGAUAAAAACAAAAAACAAAAGAAAGAAGAAGAAAAUACCUGGUAAUAUGAACAAGGACUCAAGGAGAAGAGAGAGUCUGAAACCAAGAAGAAAAAAAGUGAACAAGAGACUCUGAGAACCCCAAUUUGCCGCAAUAGAAUUAUAAAAGAGAACAAGAGAAGACGAAACGUGCCUUUUCUGGAAAAAAGAGAAUGGCUGCAUAAUUUUUUUUUUUUUUUCAUUAUAUAUAAGAAGAGGCAAUAUUUUUUUUUGGGCCCAUAAAAGUUGGGGCUCUAGGCCAGCGCCUGCUGGGCCUAUGGUCAGGGCCGGCCCUGGGUAUCAUGCAGAUUGCGAGAUACUGCAUACUGUGCAAACUUACCAGUAUUUAAUGUAACAACAAUUUGGAGAGAUACUGUUUUGGAAAAGGAUUAGUCUCUACGCCAGUUUAGAGAGAUACUGUUUGGGAUAAGGUCUCUCAAUGUCUCCAGAAAUUCUGGAAGUGUCAUUAUCUAUUGCAAGUGUAUUUUUAAAGAAUUUGAUAGAAUGUAAGGAUAAUUUAUUUGUCGGGAGUUGUUACUAAAUUACUUUUCAAACAAAUUUGCCACAGACUGUCCCAUUGGAUUUGGAAUGAAUAAUAUUCAGUUGUUUUAUAGUGAAUUAAGUUGCAAAAUAUAUAUACAUGUUCUUACUCAAGAGUCAAGACAAUAAAAUUAAGCAUAUCAAAGGGAAUGUAGGACUGACAUUUUCAUCAAUACCAAGAGACAGUGGCGGAUCCAGGAUGAAAUUCUUACUUGGGCUAGUUGUAACACUAAAAAAAUUUUCAACGAAUUCGACUUUCGAAGGUGC
Molecule: long non-coding RNA, 3360 nt
Filed under: Fragaria vesca (wild strawberry)
Lineage: Eukaryota; Viridiplantae; Streptophyta; Magnoliopsida; Rosales; Rosaceae
Description: long non-coding RNA (FVES_LNC001756)
Source: RNAcentral